This 1960-nucleotide ribosomal RNA is filed under the name Francisella tularensis subsp. holarctica. Its description in RNAcentral is "partial 23S ribosomal RNA". It matches the Rfam family "Bacterial large subunit ribosomal RNA", at positions 971 to 2925 of the family's 2925-position model. Lineage: Bacteria; Pseudomonadati; Pseudomonadota; Gammaproteobacteria; Thiotrichales; Francisellaceae. The record is from RNAcentral.
UCGAUCACGGGAGACACACUGCGGGUGCUAAGGUCCGCAGUGGAAAGGGAAACAGCCCAGACCGCCAACUAAGGUCCCAAAGUCAUAGCUAAGUGGGAAACGAAGUGGGAAGGCCCAGACAGCCAGGAGGUUGGCUUAGAAGCAGCCACCCUUUAAAGAAAGCGUAAUAGCUCACUGGUCGAGUCGGCCUGCACGUAAGAUUUAACGGGGCUAAGCUAUGCACUGAAGUUGCGGAAUAUAUUUAGUAUAUUGGUAGGGGAGCGUUCUGUAAGCCGAUGAAGGUGAAUUGAGAAGUUUGCUGGAGGUAUCAGAAGUGCGAAUGCUGACAUGAGUAACGUAAAAUAAGUGAGAUUCUUAUUGGCCGAAAACCCAAGGGUUCCUACGCAAUGUUAAUCAACGUAGGGUAAGCCGGCCCCUAAGGCGUAGCUGAAGAGUGAAGUCGAUGGGAAACAGGUUAAUAUUCCUGUGCUGCUUAUAUGAACGAAGGAGGGACGGAGAAGGUUAGGUAGGCCUGGCGAAUGGUUGUCCAGGUGAAAGUAUGUAGGUAGGAAUGCUAGGCAAAUCCGGUGUUCUGUUGAUCUGAGAUACGAGACGAAGUUAAACUUGUUUGACGAAGCUAUUGAUACCAUGCUUCCAGGAAAAGCUUCUAAGUAUAUUGUAUAAGUGACCGUACUGUAAACCGACACUGGUGGGUAGGUAGAGAAUACUAAGGCUAUGAGAUAACUCUGGUGAAGGAACUAGGCAAAAUGACACCGUAACUUUGGAAGAAGGUGUGCCCUUGAUGGUGAUGAGACUUGCUCUUUGAGCUGUUGGGGGUUGCAGAUACCAGGUGGCUGCGACUGUUUAUCAAAAACACAGCACUCUGCGAAAUCGUAAGAUGAAGUAUAGGGUGUGACGCCUGCCCGGUGCUGGAAGGUUAAUUGAAGGGGUUAGCGCAAGCGAAGCUCUGGAUCGAAGCCCCAGUAAACGGCGGCCGUAACUAUAACGGUCCUAAGGUAGCGAAAUUCCUUGUCGGGUAAGUUCCGACCUGCACGAAUGGCGUAACGAUGGCCACACUGUCUCCACCAGAGACUCAGUGAAAUUGAAAUCGCUGUGAAGAUGCAGUGUACCCGCGGUUAGACGGACAGACCCCGUGAACCUUUACUAUAGCUUUGCACUGGACUUUGAAUAUUUAUGUGUAGGAUAGGUGGGAGACCAUGAAGCAGCUACGCCAGUAGUUGUGGAGUCGUCCUUGAAAUACCACCCUUGAAUAUUUGAAGUUCUAACUCAGGAGAGAUUCGAGGACAGUGUAUGGUGGGUAGUUUGACUGGGGCGGUCUCCUCCUAAAGAGUAACGGAGGAGUACGAAGGUGCACUCGGUACGGUCGGAAAUCGUGCCAAGAGUAUAAAGGCAAAAGUGCGCUUGACUGCGAGAGUGACGGCUCGAGCAGGUACGAAAGUAGGUCUUAGUGAUCCGGUGGUCCCGAAUGGAAGGGUCAUCGCUCAACGGAUAAAAGGUACUCCGGGGAUAACAGGCUAAUUCCUCCCAAGAGUUCAUAUCGACGGAGGAGUUUGGCACCUCGAUGUCGGCUCAUCACAUCCUGGGGCUGAAGUAGGUCCCAAGGGUAUGGCUGUUCGCCAUUUAAAGUGGUACGCGAGCUGGGUUCAGAACGUCGUGAGACAGUUCGGUCCCUAUCUGCCGUGGGCGUUAGAGAUUUGAGAAGAGUUGCUCCUAGUACGAGAGGACCGGAGUGAACGAACCACUGGCGUUCCGGUUGUUUCGCCAGAAGCAUUGCCGGGUAGCUACGUUUGGACGGGAUAAACGCUGAAAGCAUCUAAGCGUGAAGCCUCCUUCAAGAUUAGAUCUCUCUGAUGAAAAUCAGUAAGGAACGUUGGAGACUACGACGUUGAUAGGCUGGGUGUGGAAGUACAGCAAUGUAUGAAGCUUACCAGUACUAAUGAUCCGAGAGACUUAAGUCUAU